GGCGAACGCUGGCGGCGUGCUUAACACAUGCAAGUCGAACGGAAAGGCCCUGCUUUUGUGGGGUGCUCGAGUGGCGAACGGGUGAGUAACACGUGAGUAACCUGCCCUUGACUUUGGGAUAACUUCAGGAAACUGGGGCUAAUACCGGAUAGGAGCUCCUGCUGCAUGGUGGGGGUUGGAAAGUUUCGGCGGUUGGGGAUGGACUCGCGGCUUAUCAGCUUGUUGGUGGGGUAGUGGCUUACCAAGGCUUUGACGGGUAGCCGGCCUGAGAGGGUGACCGGCCACAUUGGGACUGAGAUACGGCCCAGACUCCUACGGGAGGCAGCAGUGGGGAAUAUUGCACAAUGGGCGGAAGCCUGAUGCAGCAACGCCGCGUGCGGGAUGACGGCCUUCGGGUUGUAAACCGCUUUCGCCUGUGACGAAGCGUGAGUGACGGUAAUGGAUAAAGAAGCACCGGCUAACUACGUGCCAGCAGCCGCGGUGAUACGUAGGGUGCGAGCGUUGUCCGGAUUUAUUGGGCGUAAAGGGCUCGUAGGUGGUUGAUCGCGUCGGAAGUGUAAUCUUGGGGCUUAACCCUGAGCGUGCUUUCGAUACGGGUUGACUUGAGGAAGGUAGGGGAGAAUGGAAUUCCUGGUGGAGCGGUGGAAUGCGCAGAUAUCAGGAGGAACACCAGUGGCGAAGGCGGUUCUCUGGGCCUUUCCUGACGCUGAGGAGCGAAAGCGUGGGGAGCGAACAGGCUUAGAUACCCUGGUAGUCCACGCUGUAAACGGUGGGUACUAGGUGUGGGGUCCAUUCCACGGGUUCCGUGCCGUAGCUAACGCUUUAAGUACCCCGCCUGGGGAGUACGGCCGCAAGGCUAAAACUCAAAGGAAUUGACGGGGCCCCGCACAAGCGGCGGAGCAUGCGGAUUAAUUCGAUGCAACGCGUAGAACCUUACCUGGGUUUGACAUGGAUCGGGAGUGCUCAGAGAUGGGUGUGCCUCUUUUGGGGUCGGUUCACAGGUGGUGCAUGCCUGUCGUCAGCUCGUGUCGUGAGAUGUUGGGUUAAGUCCCGCAACGAGCGCAACCCUUGUUCACUGUUGCCAGCACGUUAUGGUGGGGACUCAGUGGAGACCGCCGGGGUCAACUCGGAGGAAGGUGGGGAUGACGUCAAGUCCUCAUGCCCCUUAUGUCCAGGGCUUCACGCAUGCUACAAUGGCUGGUACAGAGAGUGGCGAGCCUGUGAGGGUGAGCGAAUCUCGGAAAGCCGGUCUCAGUUCGGAUUGGGGUCUGCAACUCGACCUCAUGAAGUCGGAGUCGCUAGUAAUCGCAGAUCAGCAACGCUGCGGUGAAUACGUUCCCGGG
RNAcentral lists this ribosomal RNA (1343 nucleotides) under uncultured bacterium. Its description in RNAcentral is "16S ribosomal RNA". It matches the Rfam family "Bacterial small subunit ribosomal RNA", at positions 28 to 1378 of the family's 1533-position model. The record is from RNAcentral.